CCUACGGGUGGCAGCAGUCGAGAAUCAUUCACAAUGGGGGAAACCCUGAUGGUGCGACGCCGCGUGGGGGAAUGAAGGUCUUCGGAUUGUAAACCCUUGUCAUGUGGGAGCAAAUUAAAAAGAUAGUACCACAAGAGGAAGAGACGGCUAACUCUGUGCCAGCAGCCGCGGUAAUACCGAGGUCGCAAGCGUUGUUCGGAACCACUGGGCGUAAAGCGUGCGUAGGCUGUUUCGUAAGCCGGGUGUGAAAGGUGCGGGCUCAACCCGCGGACGGCACAUGAUACUGCGAGACUAGAGUGAAGGAGGGGGAAGCGGAAUUCUCGGUGUAGCAGUGAAAUGCGUAGAUAUCGGGAGGAACACUAGUGGCGAAGGCGGGUUCCUGGACAGUAACUGACGCUGAGGCACGAAGGCCAGGGGAGCGAAAGGGAUUAGAUACCCCAGUAGUC
Molecule: ribosomal RNA, 446 nt
Filed under: uncultured bacterium
Lineage: Bacteria
Description: partial 16S ribosomal RNA
Rfam family: Bacterial small subunit ribosomal RNA
Source: RNAcentral